Molecule: ribosomal RNA, 232 nt
Filed under: Dermacentor silvarum
Lineage: Eukaryota; Metazoa; Arthropoda; Arachnida; Ixodida; Ixodidae
Description: partial large subunit ribosomal RNA
Source: RNAcentral
CUAGAGACUGGAUUACAGGGGAAGUUUUUUUAAAUUUAAUAAUUGAAGUUAUUUUAAUUUGUGAAGAAACAAUUAUAUAAAUUAAAGACAAGAAGACCCUAAGAAUUUAAGAAUUUUUAUUAAUAUAUUAUAUGUAUAUAUAUAAAUAAAAUUCUUAGUUGGGGCAACUAAAAAAUAUAUUAAACUUUUUUUUUAAAAAAAUGACCCAUUAUUAAUGAUAAUAUGAAAAAAA